CCUACGGGAGGCAGCAGUGAGGAAUAUUGGUCAAUGGGCGGAAGCCUGAACCAGCCAAGUCGCGUGAGGGAUUAAGGCCCUGCGGGUCGUAAACCUCUUUUGCCGGGGAGCAGAGGUCCGGACGUGUCCGGGCCGGGGGAGUACCCGGAGAAAAAGCAUCGGCUAACUCCGUGCCAGCAGCCGCGGUAAUACGGAGGAUGCGAGCGUUAUCCGGAUUUAUUGGGUGUAAAGGGUGCGUAGGCGGGAAUUUAAGCCGGCGGUCAAAUGUCGGGGCUCAACCCCGGCCGGCCGUCGGAACUGGGUGCCUUGAGUGUGCGAGAAGUAUGCGGAAUGCGUGGUGUAGCGGUGAAAUGCAUAGAUAUCACGCAGAACCCCGAUUGCGAAGGCAGUAUACCGGCGCCCAACUGACGCUGAGGCACGAAAGUGUGGGUAUCGAACAGGAUUAGAUACCCCUGUAGUC
RNAcentral lists this ribosomal RNA (460 nucleotides) under uncultured bacterium. RNAcentral describes it as "partial 16S ribosomal RNA". It matches the Rfam family "Bacterial small subunit ribosomal RNA", at positions 338 to 795 of the family's 1533-position model. The record is from RNAcentral.